This is a long non-coding RNA of Mya arenaria, 4048 nucleotides long. RefSeq lists it as uncharacterized. The transcript is spliced from 4 exons. NCBI's taxonomy places the organism in Eukaryota, Metazoa, Mollusca, Bivalvia, Myida, Myidae. The record is from RefSeq and is a predicted model, not a curated record.
UAUUAAACAAUAACGUUAAUCAACAUAAUGCACAAGAGAAUGUGCUUUUGAAAAUAGUAAAACAUUAAUAUCUUUAAAUAAUGUCAAUAUGUAAUGUGAAAAAAUGAGUUGAGAAUGAGUUUGAGAAUUCACUUGAGUACUUUCGUGAUAUUGUGGCCAGGAUUCAUAAACAUGAGGCUGCACUUAAGUGGGCCUGGCCAGGGAUACAGCAAAGAAUGUUCUAAAUUCUAUCUAAGAUUGAUAUAGCUAAUUGGAUUGCUUGAUAAUGAACGUUAACAAUGAAUGAUAAUGCUCAAUAUUUUUUUUCUAAAUUGGAGUUAAGAUUGAUGUAACUAAUUGGAUUGCUUGAUAAUGAACGUUAACAAUGAAUGAUAAUGCUCAAUAUUUUUUAUUCUAAAUUGGAGUUAAGAUUGAUGUAGCUAAUUGGAUUGCUUGAUAAUGAACGUUAACAAUGAAUGAUAAUGCUCAAUAUUUUUUUUUCUUAAUUGGAGUUAAGAUUGAUGUAGCUAAUUAGAUUGCUUGAUAAUGAACGUUAACAAUGAAUGAUAAUGCUCAAUAUUUUUUGUCUAAAUUGGAGUUAAGAUUGAUGUAGCUAAUUGGAUUGCUUGGUAUAGAUAACCAACCUAUACAAUGAAUGAAAUUAAUGAAAUAUUACCAGAUUAAAGACCACUACAUGAGCUUGUAUAUUAUAUAUGCGAUCAAGAUUUACUUUAGCACAUUGUCUAUUUAGAUGAUACAAAGCCUGGUCAGUGUCCGUAGAAACGCGGACGCGGCAGUGCUUGUAGAUCUGUGCAGCCUAAAUUUGGACAAUAUCGCGGAUGAAGUCGAAGUGAAGUUACAAACGACGUGAACCUCAAGAACUGUAACUCAUGUUAUGGAGCAUAUUACUUUGUUAGGUUUUCUGUCUUGUAAUAAAUGACAUAUUUCAGGUGUAUUUCAAAUUUAGCACUAUAACAAUGAUGUCUUAGAUGUCGUGUAUAAUUAUCACUUAAAAAUAGCAAACUGAUACAAUUUCAAUGCACGCAAGGUAUUUAAUAUAACAUUGAUAGUAACGAUGAACAAUAAAUGCUUAACAACAGUCGUGUGUUCUUUUAAUCAAUGUGUACCUACUUGUAAGUAUGCAAACUUGUCCCUUAGUCAGCAGUUGUCGACUUUAUUUUUCCAUUUAUUUAUCAUAAUUAGUAAUGUUGAAACAGAUAAAUCGAUUAUACUUGCUAAUUGUUGAUAUUAUAGGAACACCUUUUAAUGAUAAUGAAUUCUUUAUUAAGAAUUGUUGGGAUAAGAGUGAGGUUUGUGCACAUAAACUGGUUUAAACCCACAGUAAAUUUACAUUUUACUGACUGUUCCAAGGCGGUACCUAAAAAUUCUUGAUAAACAUACCAAUUAUAUAUAUAUAGUAUUUAUGCACUGUGCUGUUUGUAGAGUUGUGUGCUGUUCUAUGUUUCUUGUUUGUGAAUUUGUGUUCUAUGUCUUUGGCGUUGCCCAUUGCCACUAAACCGGGUUUAUGUUUAAACUUUUUGCUACUGAGCAUGUUUCUGUUGCUUUUUGCAUAUAUAUUGAAUUAAAAUCAAAAUGAAAGUCUUAUUUCUUGUAACUGUUCUAACGGUGUUAGGAGUUUAUUGCCAGGAGUCUCAAAAUUAUGUGGAAAGAGGUAAGACAUAAUUGUUACAAAUACUAGAAGGCUAACAUUUGAAUAUCUUACAUUUCAAAACCCAACGUUUAAAUAACUAAUAUUUGCAUACAUGAAGCUAACGUUUUAAAUAGCUAACAUUCAAUUAGUAAACACGUCGGUAUCAUUUACAGAUAUUAUUCAAAGCAUUCCAAUCAUCAUUAAUAACACGUACAACACUUCAGUUAUUUGCAGUCGACUUAUAUAGUUCAUAUAAUUCUUAUUUGUUUAUUCAGAUAAAGUCAAUACAACUCUACUCUAUAGUUUUACACAGUGCUCUUUAAUUGAAAUCAAAAGACUGAUGAGAGAUGGUAUAUACAAAAGGAAAUAAAUCGCGUUCAUCCGUUCAUGAUAUAGUGUACCGGUCGCUACGUGGGGUAGAGCAUUGUUGUCUUGAAUAAUUCUUCGCUUAGUGGGGUAGAAUACGAGCGGGGUAGAUAACUUGUAUCCGGAACAGCGUCCCGCUACGCGGAGAAGGACUCGUAUGCCAGUAAGCGUGCCCCGCUAGGUGGGAUAGAACACACAGUGCCUUAAUGUAUUAAAUGUUUCGCCAGAAAUAUCUGAUAGUUGGUUGACUGGUUGGGGAGUAACUUAGAUAGAAAGUCUUUCGAAACGUAUGUACGUAAAUCAGAGCAAUACACAUGGGAACAAUUCUUAGUGUAAUGCAUGUGAAACCUUUGUUUAAAAUGAAAUAUCCAUUUUGUUGUUUCUGUUUAUGCUCAAUAACUGUAAAACAUGUGAUUAUGAUUGAAAACUUAUCUUAACAUUUAGUAUAAGUCUGCCACACUUUUGGUACAUGUUAAGUCAACAAAAACAAACGCGCAAAAAUAUUAUAUAUAAUAUAUGUAUAUAUAUAAAUAUAUAAUAGUUCAUAUAAAUAUUUUCAAGAAUGAGCAAUAAUAAAGAAAUAGGUGAUGCAGCUCUUUUAAAAUCGCUGACUUACUUUGAUCGCUUUUUUAACAAUAUUUUUGUAUAUAUCAAACAACAGUUGAUAUUCCUAUCAUCCAUCAAUUAACAUGAAAUAGCGUUCAUACAUAGUUAUAAAAUAGUUAUUUAUAUGCAAGAUGGGCUGGAGUCAUUACCGCCCAGUUCAUCGAAUGUGUUUCUUACAACUGGAUCAAGCUCAGCACACUAUUUAUACUUAGGAAUAUAGUAUUCAAUAUAAAUACUGAUGUGAAAAAUUACAGAAACAAGCUCAGUAGCCAAACGUUUAAACAUAAACCCCGUUUAAUGGCACAGGGUAAAAGCCACAGACAUAGAUCAUAAAAACAAAAACAAACAAGAAACAUGAAAUAACAGCACAAAACUCCACAAACAACACAAAGCAAAUAUUUUAUCUAGAAAACUAGGUAUGUUUAUCAAGAUUUGUAAGGUACUGCCUUGGAACGGUCAGUAAGUGUCUUGGGAUCUGAUAGGAUUUGUGUUUAAGAUAUUAACGAUAAACUCUUGUUUACUUGCAUACCUAAACAUAAGAAGCUUUGCUAUGUAAACUAUAACUAUAAUGCGUGCUGCUUUGGCAUUUUGGAUUAUAUCGAGUCUCACGGUGACCGCUCGCUGUGCCUUGGCUUCAAAGUCCAGGCGGGGCUCAGCCACAGCAAACCCUGUUCAAUAAGUUAUCUUUCAUUCCAUGUUGGUAAAUUUGCAGCUGGUCGACAUGUAUUUUGAAUCAAUGUCUAGGCGUUGCGGUAAAAAUGAAGAACCCUUGGCAAUGAUGUCCAUCUUGUUUUCUAGGUGAAACUUUAUGUGACCGAAGUGCAUGCGACUGGCCUGUUUGUCCUGGAGGAGAGCGGCCGCAAAGGUACAGUGGUCAAUGUUGUCCUUCUUGCCCGCCUCCCGUUGGUCCCGAUUGCUCAAGGACAUUCUGCACACUGGACAUAAAGAUCUGUGCGGACGGGCGGCCAGCUCCUGUCCCAUCUGGAGAAUGUUGUCCACGAUGCAUCGACCCACCAAAUGGCCAAAAGCCUGGUCAGUGUCCACAGAGACGCGGCAGUGCUUGUAGAUCUGUGCAUCCUGAAUGCAACGGAGAUUACUCUUGUCCCGAAAAUCAAAAAUGCUGCACUAACGGUUGUGGACGCCGAUGCACUAGACCUUUGUUUGUGGGACAAUAUCGCAGAUGAAGUCGAAGUGAAGCUACAAACGACGAGUACAUCAAGGACUGUAACUCGUGUUAUUAAUCAUAGUGUUUUAUUAGGGUUUCUAUGUCGUAAUAAAUUACAUAUGUAAGGUGUAUUUCAAAUUUAGCACUAAAACAAUAUUGUCUUAAAUGUUAUUUAUAAUUAAAGCUUAAACAAUAGCAAACUGAUACAAUUUCCAAUUCACUCAAUGUAUUUAAUAUAACAUUUAUGGUACAGAUGAACAAUAAAUGCAUUACAACACUCA